AAUCCAUAGGUUAAUGAGGCGAACCGGGGGAACUGAAACAUCUAAGUACCCCGAGGAAAAGAAAUCAACCGAGAUUCCCCCAGUAGCGGCGAGCGAACGGGGAGGAGCCCAGAGCCUGAAUCAGCAUGUGUGUUAGUGGAAGCGUCUGGAAAGGCGCGCGAUACAGGGUGACAGCCCCGUACACAAAAGCGCAUGUGCUGUGAGCUCGAUGAGUAGGGCGGGACACGUGGUAUCCUGUCUGAAUAUGGGGGGACCAUCCUCCAAGGCUAAAUACUCCUGACUGACCGAUAGUGAACCAGUACCGUGAGGGAAAGGCGAAAAGAACCCCGGCGAGGGGAGUGAAAAAGAACCUGAAACCGUGUACGUACAAGCAGUGGGAGCCCCACCACUAAGCCAGUGGUGAACUCCACAUACGCAUCCUUUGCUGAGGAUACGGUUAACGGAGCGAAAGCGACGUUCAACCGCAAAAGAAGCAGA
RNAcentral lists this ribosomal RNA (477 nucleotides) under Salmonella enterica subsp. enterica serovar Heidelberg. RNAcentral's name for it is "partial 23S ribosomal RNA". It matches the Rfam family "Bacterial large subunit ribosomal RNA", at positions 161 to 665 of the family's 2925-position model. The record is from RNAcentral. Lineage: Bacteria; Pseudomonadati; Pseudomonadota; Gammaproteobacteria; Enterobacterales; Enterobacteriaceae.